AUUUUAUUCUUUGUUUAAAAAACAACCCUAAAUUUUGAGAACCCCCCCUUUUGCUCUCCCCUCUGCUCCUCGCUGUAUGCCAAGCCUUCAACUUCUCCGAAAACCGCUUGCGACCAAUGAAGCAGGGCCCUCCAGUGGUGCGAGUGCGACGCAACUCCGCUAUGGCAAACGUGGCUUGGACAUGGUGCUUGGGUGCGUGGUGUGAGGUGGUGGAGAACGUGAGUAGUGGCGGUUGAAUGUGGGCACAUGAUGACUGAAGGGAGGCAGCAAAUCUAGGGUUUCCCUCUUUGCUGAAAAAAAAAUGUGGGUCAUUGGGCUCGUAAUAGGGCCUUUUAAUUUUAGUGAUUUGGGUUUAUAUCUUGGACCGGUAAAAUUUAGGCCCUACAAUAUAAAAAUAAAACUUUAUAUAAAA
Molecule: long non-coding RNA, 412 nt
Organism: Gossypium arboreum
Lineage: Eukaryota; Viridiplantae; Streptophyta; Magnoliopsida; Malvales; Malvaceae
Exons: 2
Source: RefSeq, a predicted model, not a curated record